This 465-nucleotide ribosomal RNA is filed under the name uncultured bacterium. RNAcentral describes it as "partial 16S ribosomal RNA". It matches the Rfam family "Bacterial small subunit ribosomal RNA", at positions 339 to 795 of the family's 1533-position model. The record is from RNAcentral.
CUACGGGGGGCUCCAGUGGGGAAUAUUGGACAAUGGGGGAAACCCUGAUCCAGCAAUGCCGCGUGUGUGAAGAAGGCCUGCGGGUUGUAAAGCACUUUCGGUUGGGAGGACUGCUUCUAGCACUAAUAUUGUUGGAAGUUGACGUUACCUUCAGAAGAAGCACCGGCUAACUCCGUGCCAGCAGCCGCGGUAAUACGGAGGGUGCAAGCGUUAAUCGGAAUUACUGGGCGUAAAGCGCGCGUAGGCGGCUAGAUCAGUCGGGUGUGAAGGCCCCGGGCUUAACCUGGGAACUGCAUCCGAUACUGUCUAGCUUGAGUACAGGAGAGGAGAGUGGAAUUCCACAUGUAGCGGUGAAAUGCGUGGAUAUGUGGAGGAACACCAAUGGCGAAGGCAGCUCUCUGGCCUGAUACUGACGCUGAGGUGCGAAAGCGAGGGGAGCAAAUGGGAUUAGAUACCCGUGUAGUC